This is a long non-coding RNA of Leopardus geoffroyi (Geoffroy's cat), 3043 nucleotides long. RefSeq lists it as uncharacterized. NCBI's taxonomy places the organism in Eukaryota, Metazoa, Chordata, Mammalia, Carnivora, Felidae. The transcript is spliced from 3 exons. The record is from RefSeq and is a predicted model, not a curated record.
CCAAGGAAUCUUAAUUAUCUCUUUCCUUGCCCAUCUGCUGCAGUAACUAGACUCCGGGCAGGGACUGUGUCUUGUUCAUGCCUGCAUUUCUGGGGUCCCUUCCUAGAGUAGAAGUUGAGUAGAUGUUUUAUGGACGAAUGACUGAAGUAGGUUAAUACAUAGAUUUGUGAACAGGCUAUUCUCUGAUGAUAACCUAUGCCUUUACAUAAUGCCACCUCCCUCACUUGUGUGUGUUGAGGACAAUGUGGGGAUAGUUAGGUUAGCAGCCCAGGCUGUAGGGAAGCCCUUAUAGCAAACUUGCUGGACCGCAGUCGGUGUAGAAGCCAGAGCUCUGGGUUCUCUGCAUGUUGUAGACACAGGUGAGAGGCAAGACAUAUGUCAGGAAACAUUGGCAUGGUGUGAAAGGAGAAAGGAAUGUACCUUCAUUAAGCACCUGCCAUAUGCUAGACAAUUUAAACAUAUUAUUUCAGCGAGUCUGUCCUCACAACAACCCUGUAAGUUUGCUGUUAUUAUCCCCAUCUGGCAAAUAAAGAAGCAGGCUCAGAGAAGUUAAGUGACUUGCCCAAGGCCACACAGCUGGUAAGUGGCAGAGCUGGAAUCCAAAACAGGGCCUUCCCGUCUUCUGAGCAGGGGCUCCACCCAAUGCAUCUCAGCAGACAAAAGGAGAAGCCAGACAUGCCUAGUUUCUCCACGACACCCAGGGCCUGGGCCUCGUGUAGAUAUGAGGCCCGCACAUCAGUCCUGGCCUGACAAAAAAGCUCAGAAGGCUUCUCCUAGCAGCGGCCUGUUGAACACGGCCUGGAGGAGAGAGUAAAGAAACAGGCUGCUUUUCCCCGGACCCAGGCUCUGUCAGGCAGGCCUGAUUUGUAUGACUGCUCCAGACGCUGCAGAAACAAACACUGGGCUGUUGGGUCAGGUUCCCCUGUUUCUUAGAUGAAGGAGCCAGACCGGAGCCAGCGCAUUUCUCAACCCCCAGGCAACCGCUGACCAGGCCUCCUGGGCUCUGUCUCCACUGGCAGCUGUGAGCGGCGCAGCCUCCUGGCUGGCUGAGCAGCCCCCGGCCCUGCUGGCAGCCACGGGACACGUUGUCUAGCUGCAAUCUCGAGUGGAACCGUAGUCGACGAAACAGAGCGAGGAGCUGCCUCGCCUUGCCUUCUUGCCUUGCUCUCACCAUCACAUUUUCCUGGAACCCUGGGAUUCCUUAGAAUCCAGUCUGAAAAGCACUGUCCACAUUCAAUUCCUGUACCUCAUGCGUGGGAAACAGAGAUCUGGAGAAGCUAAGGGAUCUGUCCAGUGUCAAAAGGCCAGGAAGCGGUGGAGGCACAACCAGCCAUCAAGCUUCCUGGCGUCCAGGUCAAGGGCUUUUGGCUGGGCCCGGCAGCCUUCCCUGCUCUCACCUACUAUGCAGGAAAAUGCCUUGAUGGCCUCUCUGGUCCCUGGCCUGGAAGGGGAAGGAGAAACAAAGAGGAGGCUAAACUGUUCUACCUGAAAUGACAUUUGGGCUUUGCUCCCUGGAAGCCCCAGAGGCUGGAUGGGUGAAGGCUGGGUCGGGGAGCUGGGCAGGGCUCAGAAAUGGAGUGUGACAAGGGAAAUGAAGACAGAAUCCCAAAACGGAGUAGGAGAUGCACUCUAUGGGGGACAGGACACAGCCACCCUCUUUCUGGGAACAUCGAGCUGUUUUUGCCUACUCCUGUAUUUCCAGCAAAGGUCUGGUGGCCCCGGGAACCUCAUGUCGAUGGCUUGUGGAAUGGCGAUGGGCAACAGGAGAGGGAGCUCGAGUCUCCAGUGCUGAGAGUGAGCUCAGGAAGACAGAAGCAUCACGGAUGGAAGGGGUGAACACCUGGGCAUGCUGGGGAGACGGGGUUUCUCAGAGUAGCGGGGACUGGGCACGCGCUGUUUGAUUUGGAGGGUCAAGCGAUGGAUGCUGCCAGAAGGCUAAAAGGUGAGGGUGUUUGAUGUACCUGGCAAUGUGUGUGCAUAUUCCACGAUGCAUAUUUACAUCAGUGUGUUCAUGAGGGCCGCUACCUGUGUGGUCGUGCAGGUAGAUGUGUGUGUGAGUACGUGUAAGUAUGGAAAUGCAGAAAUACCCCAUAUAUGUAGGAGUACAUGCAUAGGGGGCCUGGGCUUCAGGAUGUGUGUUUACGUGUGUAUAAAUAAAUAAAGACGAGCAGUGGCCAUGUGGGUGUGGAUGUGAGAAGGCCUGUGAGCGCAGCUGUGUGUCACUCCAUGUGCGUGUAGGGCCGUGGGGAGAUUUGUAAAUGUGCAGACCCUGUGUGUGUGCACAGAUGUGCCAGGGACCCAACAACCUCUGCAGUGUGCCUCCCUCCCCUUGGGGUCCGGCACAGCCGGCGAGGCUCCGGGCAGCAGGGAAGGGGGAGUAGAUGUUCCCGGGCGUGCUUGCCCCAGAGCGCUGCUCCUUGCCCAAGAACAUUCCCACUUUCCCAUUCCUGGGAAGGAACAUAAUGUCCACUGGCUCCUCUCCUGCCCGAUGAGUCCAACUCCCUUGUCUUGGGCUGCAAGGCGCUUCCUGACCAGGACAGGGAGCAUCCAGGGAGCCAAACCCCGGGGGCAGAGUGGGAGGGAAACAUACCGGCUCCAAGAGUGUCAGCAACAGGAGAUCUUCCCGGGGUGAUUAAAGUAGCCAUCAUUUGUUGGGUGUUUGCCAUGCGCCAGCCCCGUGCAGAACAUUUCACAUGAAUAAACUCAUUUAAGCCUCCCUACAGCCAUAGUUGCUAGGGCUUACCACGAUCUCGUUUGGGCAGAUGAGGACACUGAGGCUCAGGUGAAGGAACGUGCACAAGAUGGCACAGGCAGAGCUGAGACUGUGAACCGCCGAGGUUCCUAUACCCCUCAGCCAGCCUCGCCUUUUCCAAAUACCUUUUUAGAACUUGAGGUCCUACUAUGUGCCAGGCCAUGCGCUGAGCCCUUUCAUAUCAUAAAUGACACAUAUCACGCUUUCCAUUUAUUAUCUUAUUUCACCUCCAUAACUACAUUAUCAGGUUGGUGUGAUGUCCAUUUACAAUUAAAGAAACCGAGGAACAGA